RNAcentral lists this ribosomal RNA (468 nucleotides) under uncultured bacterium. RNAcentral's name for it is "partial 16S ribosomal RNA". It matches the Rfam family "Bacterial small subunit ribosomal RNA", at positions 28 to 507 of the family's 1533-position model. The record is from RNAcentral.
GACGAACGCUGGCGGCGUGCUUAACACAUGCAAGUCGAACGGAAAGGCCCUGCUUUUGUGGGGUGCUCGAGUGGCGAACGGGUGAGUAACACGUGAGUAACCUGCCCUUGACUUUGGGAUAACUUCAGGAAACUGGGGCUAAUACCGGAUAGGAGCUCCUGCUGCAUGGUGGGGGUUGGAAAGUUUCGGCGGUUGGGGCUGGACUCGCGGCUUAUCAGCUUGUUGGUGGGGUAGUGGCUUACCAAGGCUUUGACGGGUAGCCGGCCUGAGAGGGUGACCGGCCACAAUGGGACUGAGAUACGGCCCAGACGCCUACGGGGGGCAGCAGUGGGGAAUAUUGCACAAUGGGCGGAAGCCUGAUGCAGCAACGCCGCGUGCGGGAUGACGGCCUUCGGGUUGUGAACCGCUUUCGCCUGUGACGAAGCGUGAGUGACGGUAAUGGGUAAAGAAGCACCGGCUAACUACGUG